RNAcentral lists this ribosomal RNA (305 nucleotides) under uncultured bacterium. RNAcentral's name for it is "bacterial SSU rRNA". It matches the Rfam family "Bacterial small subunit ribosomal RNA", at positions 337 to 641 of the family's 1533-position model. The record is from RNAcentral.
UCCUACGGGAGGCAGCAGUGAGGAAUAUUGGUCAAUGGGCGAUAGCCUGAACCAGCCAAGUCGCGUGAGGGAAGACGGCCCUAUGGGUUGUAAACCUCUUUUGUCGGGGAGCAAGGUCGCUACGUGUAGCGAUUUGAGAGUACCCGAAGAAAAAGCAUCGGCUAACUCCGUGCCAGCAGCCGCGGUAAUACGGAGGAUGCGAGCGUUAUCCGGAUUUAUUGGGUUUAAAGGGUGCGCAGGCGGCGAGUUAAGUCAGCGGUAAAAUUUCGGGGCUCAACCCCGACAAGCCGUUGAAACUGGCUUGG